UGAGUCGGCCAGGCGGUCGCGUCGGCCGUGUCCACCUUCGGGUGGGCCGGCUGCCGAGGAACGUCCGGGCUCCAGAGGGCAGGGUGGUGGCUAACGGCCACCCGGGGUGACCCGCGGGAAAGUGCCACAGAAAGCAGACCGCCCACGAACCACCGGCCGAUCGGCCGGCAGGCGCGGGUAAGGGUGAAACGGUGGUGUAAGAGACCACCAGCGCUCCAGGUGACUGGGGCGGCUAGGUAAACCCCACCCGGAGCAAGACCAGACAGCACGCGUUCGAGGGCGGCUCGCCCGAGCGUGCGGGUAGGUCGCUAGAGGUGCGCGGCGACGCGUACCCGAGAUGGAUGACCGCUCACGACAGAACCCGGCGUAUCGGCCGGCUCAUCCG
This 385-nucleotide RNase P RNA is filed under the name Micrococcales bacterium. Its description in RNAcentral is "RNase P RNA component class A". It matches the Rfam family "Bacterial RNase P class A". Rfam says of the family: Ribonuclease P (RNase P) is a ubiquitous endoribonuclease, found in archaea, bacteria and eukarya as well as chloroplasts and mitochondria. Its best characterised activity is the generation of mature 5'-ends of tRNAs by cleaving the 5'-leader elements of precursor-tRNAs. Cellular RNase Ps are ribonucleoproteins. Lineage: Bacteria; Bacillati; Actinomycetota; Actinomycetes; Micrococcales. The record is from RNAcentral.